Molecule: unclassified non-coding RNA, 1324 nt
Filed under: Penaeus monodon (black tiger shrimp)
Lineage: Eukaryota; Metazoa; Arthropoda; Malacostraca; Decapoda; Penaeidae
Description: uncharacterized LOC119574164, transcript variant X1
Source: RNAcentral
CGGAGUCUCAAGGCCGACUGGCCAGUGGGCGCCUGCGCGUAGGGUCGGCCACUCGGCGGGGCGCGUGCGCGAGCCGGCGCGGGACCGUCCGAGCCUUGGCGUCCCUCACAAGGCAUUCGCGUGUGCGCCUCCCUAGCGUGCGGAGGCGCCUGGAACCUUGGGAGUGGUGCAGUGUUGCACAGUUGCUACCACCCACGCAGUCCCUUAGCAGGUCUGGGUGGCGACACUGCCAGACCAGUGUGUGUCAGUGGCUCAAGUCAAGAUUGAUCAGAAUGUGUGAGCUCCGUGGUCUUACAGGCAAAGUAGCGGCCUAAGGUCUCGCUGGAGGUGCAUAUAGUGGACUAUAUGUGGCCUGCGAGGCGCCAGUGCCGUCGCCUCGCUCUUUCCUGCAGGAUACGUGCGUCGCGGCCUCCUCGCCUCUCCUGAAAAUUGUGACGUUUCGACUUUUGAAAGAGAAAAUAUUGAAAAGGAAACAGAGAGAGAGAAGGAGAAAGAGGGAGAAGGAGAGAUGGAAUAAUGGAAAGAAAAUUCGAGAUGGAGGCACGUUGUUUUAAAAGAUGACUUUCCACACAACACCAUCCCAUACGACCCCACCUGCCUUCCCUCACAGCACAAAAAUUAUACGAUUUCGCCUUUGAAAUUUCUCGUACGACAUUCCCACAAUGGCCGGCCACCAUUAGGGCUCGCGAGGGAGAGGAAGAGAGGAAGAAAUCCGUCCAGGAUGCUUAGGAAGACAGUGCCAACGCUGCAUAAACGAGGGAGUUCUUAAUGACAGCUACACCGGCGCUGCUGAGACCACCUGCUGGGGAGACCGCUCAGCUAUAGCGACCUGGGAGGGGGUAGAGGGGAGGCUGGGGUGGAGGCAGAUUAGGGAGUAGAGAGAGGGGGAAGGAAUAGGAACAGGGAGAGAGAGGAAGAAGAGAGUAUGGGAAGGAGGGAGGGCGGAGAGAUAUAACGUGAAGAAAGUGGUGUUUUUGGUGAGAGAGAGAGAGAGAGAGAGAGAGAGAGAGUGAAAGAGGAGAGAGAGAGAGAGAGAGAGAGAGAGAGAGAGAGAGAGAGAGAGAGAGAGAGAGAGAGAGAGAGAGAGAGAGAGAGAGAGAGAGCGUGUGUGUUUGUAUAUGCGUGUGCGUGCGCGUGUGUAUGACUCUAAAACACUACCCGCACGCAGGCGCCCAGCCGGUGUGCCAGAGAUAACCCGUGAACGCCAGCCUAUCGUGAGAGCCUUAUUGCAGGACGCCUGUUACCGGCUGUCUGUCAGAUAUCGACUCCCCUUUCCCCUCACUCCCCCUUGCCCCUCCUCCCCUCUUUUCCCCUUCCUCCUUCC